GCUAUUGAAAAAUGUAGUUGCUUUGUGUAGAAAUGAAAUUAAAUUGUUACAAAAGCAAAGAAAUAUUCAGUAUAAUCAUAAUUGCUCUGGGAUUUCGUAAAAAUAAUACAAAAUUUUUGAGAAACUAUAUUCGUAGCUGAUAAAAAAACUCAUACUAUUUAAAAACAUUCGUAGGUUUUGCUACCGCACAUGUUGUAAUUACGAAUGGUUCGUAUCUGGUACCAAAAGACAUUCGUAGCACAUUUUGCAUAAGAACGCCUUGGAUGCACGCUUGCUGUCUGGCUUUGUUACCGAGGAGAUCGGGUUGCGAAGAUUCCCCCUAGCGCCAAUCCAUGGUACCGCAAUUAAUGUUUUUUCGAGUGAUCAUGUUCAAUGCGCCGUAGGGGAGGAGGGGGAAGAGGUUCGCAUACGUAAACAAAAUUGUAAAUAUUAGUAUAAAAUGCAAUGUUCAGAAUGCCAAAAACCCGAAUCGAUUCACCUUUCGCGUUGUCAGAAAAAAAAAUUGAAAUAAGGCAAAAAUAUGGUGUAAAAGGUACUAUGCCCCCUUAAGGGGAAACCGAAAGUGGCUCAAAGAUGGCUGGAUAAAUGGCUACCAUUCGAAGCAUGUAUUGUUUUGCGCCUUAAAAAUGCAUCUGUAUUGGCAGAGCACGCUUUCGCCACGUAAUCAGUGCUUCCAGCGCUGUUAUAAUUUCCUAAAACUUGUAAUUCAAUUUAUCGAUCUGCUAUGUAUCAAUAAACGCUCAGCAAAACAUAAUUGCUAAUGGAAAAUAAAUUUAACUGAACAUAUCGAUCAUUACGUGUUCAUAAAA
Sabethes cyaneus is the source of this 809-nucleotide long non-coding RNA. RefSeq lists it as uncharacterized. The transcript has 4 exons. NCBI's taxonomy places the organism in Eukaryota, Metazoa, Arthropoda, Insecta, Diptera, Culicidae. The record is from RefSeq and is a predicted model, not a curated record.